This 31-nucleotide non-coding RNA is filed under the name Mus musculus (house mouse). The record is from RNAcentral. Lineage: Eukaryota; Metazoa; Chordata; Mammalia; Rodentia; Muridae.
UGCUUGUGUGAAAGUAUAGAGUAUGACCUAU